Molecule: ribosomal RNA, 137 nt
Filed under: uncultured eukaryote
Lineage: Eukaryota
Description: partial 18S ribosomal RNA
Rfam family: Eukaryotic small subunit ribosomal RNA
Source: RNAcentral
UGGUGGAGUGAUUUGUCUGCCUAAUCGCGAUAACGAACGAGACCUUAACCUGCUAAAUAGCCCGUAUUGCUUUGGCAGUACGCUGGCUUCUUAGAGGGACUAUCGGCUCAAGCCGAUGGAAGUUUGAGGCAAUAACA